UACGUAGGGUGCGAGCGUUACUCGGAAUUACUGGGCGUAAAGCGUGCGCAGGCGGUUCGUUAAGUUAGUUGGGAAAGCCCCGGGCUCAACCUGGGAAUUGCGGUUGAAACUGGCGAACUAGAAUCUGGCAGAGGGGGGUGGAAUUCCACGUGUAGCAGUGAAAUGCGCAGAUAUCGGGAGGAACACCAGUAGCGAAGGCGGCUCGCUGGGCCACACCUGACGCUGAGACGCGAAAGCUAGGGGAGCGAACAGG
Molecule: ribosomal RNA, 253 nt
Filed under: uncultured bacterium
Lineage: Bacteria
Description: partial 16S ribosomal RNA
Rfam family: Bacterial small subunit ribosomal RNA
Source: RNAcentral